AAGAACACAGGAAAUAACAUUUCCUGCUCUAAUUGUGUCAGUUUCUGACAACGGCUAUAGCCUACACAGCAGGGUAAUUCAACAUUCACAAGACUUGUAAGUUACAUUGUAAAAUGGCUUCUUCCUUGAAACGACGCAAAACGUGCUUGAUGCUAAAAGUGAAUAUAUAGGAAAUGGAGGCUCUGCAGAGGAAGCACAAAAAAAACGCCAUACCUUGAUGAUAACGAUACCUCAGAUGGAAUAAGGGAAGAACAGACAGAGCCAUCUGUUCCUGACUAUCAAUCAAU
Molecule: long non-coding RNA, 287 nt
Organism: Salvelinus fontinalis (brook trout)
Lineage: Eukaryota; Metazoa; Chordata; Actinopteri; Salmoniformes; Salmonidae
Exons: 3
Source: RefSeq, a predicted model, not a curated record